CCUACGGGAGGCAGCAGUGAGGAAUAUUGGUCAAUGGCCGGGAGGCUGAACCAGCCAAGUCGCGUGAGGGAAGACGGCCCUACGGGUUGUAAACCUCUUUUGUCAGGGAGCAAGGUGCAGGUCGGGACCUGCUGCGAGAGUACCUGAAGAAAAAGCAUCGGCUAACUCCGUGCCAGCAGCCGCGGUAAUACGGAGGAGGCGAGCGUUAUCCGGAUUUAUUGGGUGUAAAGGGUGCGCAGGGGGAGGGGAAAGUCAGCGGUAAAAGCGGGGGGCUCAACCCCGCUCCGCCGUUGAAACUGUGGAACUUGAGUGCGCGAAGGGUAAGCGGAAUGCGUAGUGUAGCGGUGAAAUGCAUAGAUAUCAGGCAGAACACCAGUGGCGAAGGCAGCCUACCGGAGCGCAACUGACGCUCAGGCACGAAAGCGUGGGUAGCGAACAGGAUUAGAUACCCUUGUAGUC
This 459-nucleotide ribosomal RNA is filed under the name uncultured bacterium. RNAcentral describes it as "partial 16S ribosomal RNA". It matches the Rfam family "Bacterial small subunit ribosomal RNA", at positions 338 to 795 of the family's 1533-position model. The record is from RNAcentral.